GAAUCCACGGGAUUGAGUUUG
RNAcentral lists this microRNA (21 nucleotides) under Panagrellus redivivus. RNAcentral's name for it is "prd-miR-7962-5p". The record is from miRBase by way of RNAcentral. Lineage: Eukaryota; Metazoa; Nematoda; Chromadorea; Rhabditida; Panagrolaimidae.